CCCUUAGAUGUUCUGGGCCGCACGCGUGCUACACUGAGUAAUUCAAUGGGUAAGGGAACGCUAGAGCAUUACCUAAUCUUGAAAUUUGCUCGUGAUGGGGAUCGACGGUUGCAAUUUUCCGUCGUGAACGAGGAAUACCUUGUAGGCGCAUGUCAUCAUCGUGCGCCGAAUACGUCCCUGCCCUUUGUACACACCGCCCGUCGCUCCUACCGAUUGAGUGAUCCGGUGAGGCUCUGGGACCUGGACGGAAAGAGCGUUUCGCUUGUUCUGUUUGGGAAACUUGGUCGAACCUUAUCAUUUAGAGGAAGGAGAAGUCGUAACA
Molecule: ribosomal RNA, 322 nt
Filed under: uncultured eukaryote
Lineage: Eukaryota
Description: partial 18S ribosomal RNA
Rfam family: Eukaryotic small subunit ribosomal RNA
Source: RNAcentral